RNAcentral lists this ribosomal RNA (274 nucleotides) under uncultured bacterium. Its description in RNAcentral is "partial 16S ribosomal RNA". It matches the Rfam family "Bacterial small subunit ribosomal RNA", at positions 523 to 796 of the family's 1533-position model. The record is from RNAcentral.
AUACAAAGGUCCCAAGCGUUAUUCGGAAUCACUGGGCGUAAAGAGUACGUAGGCGGUUUGGUAAGUCAGGUGUGAAAUCCCGGAGCUCAACUCCGGAACUGCAUCCGAUACUGCCAGACUUGAGUAAUGGAGAGGCAGGUGGAAUUCUCGGUGGAGCAGUGAAAUGCGUGGAUAUCGAGAGGAAGACCAAUGGCGAAGGCAGCCUGCUGGACAUUUACUGACGCUGAGGUACGAAGGCUAGGGGAGCGAAAGGGAGUAGAAACCCCAGUAGUCC